GAUGAAGAACGUAGCGAAAUGCGAUAAGUAAUGUGAAUUGCAGAAUUCAGUGAAUCAUCGAAUCUUUGAACGCACCUUGCACCCUUUGGCAUUCCGAAGGGUAUGCUCGUUUGAGUGUCAUUGUACUCUCACACUUCCGAUCUUUGGAUUGGGAGCGGUGGACUUGGGUGUUGCUGCUUACUGUGGCUCACCUCAAAUCGAUUCGUGCACCUCUUGGUUGGACAUAGUACGGCGUGAUAAGUGUCUUCGCCGGCACCUCAGUAGAGGGUGGCUGAUCGGGAGCUCUGCUUCAAACCGUCCUCGGACAACAACUGACAACUUGACCUCAAAUCGAGUAGGACUACCCGCUGAACUUAAGCAUAUCAAUAAGCGGAGA
This 376-nucleotide unclassified non-coding RNA is filed under the name soil metagenome. Its description in RNAcentral is "partial contains 5.8S ribosomal RNA, internal transcribed spacer 2, and large subunit ribosomal RNA". The stretch from base 1 to 120 matches the Rfam family "5.8S ribosomal RNA", at positions 35 to 154 of the family's 154-position model. The record is from RNAcentral.